CAGAUAUUUGAUAUCCUUCAGAAUCUUCUUUCGAUUCUUCCUCUUCUUCUUACUCUGCUUCCACCUCUUCCUCUUCUUCUCCUUCUUGGGAAAGAUUAUUCUUUAAAACAAUCUCAGUUGGAUCUACCUCUUCAUGUUGGCAAUCUUUACAUAGGUAAAUUUCUGGAGCAUCCAAUUCUACAUCAUCAAAUGAUUGAUGAACUCUUACUGUCUCAUCUUCUUGAAAGUAUUUUGGUAAUUAGGGUUCUUUUUCUUCUUUGAGCACAUAAUGAAUGGCUCGAGACUUAAUUUUGCAUACAGUCCAUCAAUCUUUCCUUCAUCUUUCCCUUGAUGGAAAAGAAGUAUAAUAUACUUGAGCAGCUUGUGCAGCUAUUACAAAUGGCUUGUUGACAUAAGCUUUUGAUCCAUGUUUGAUUUCAAUAAGCCAGUACCGUGGAUCAACCUUCAUACCAUUGUUGGUAUCAAACCAUCGGCACUUAAAUAAAAUGACACUGUUACCUCCAAUGUAGCUCAUCUUAAUCACUUCUUCGAGAAUUUUAUAGUAGUCACUCUCCGCCUUAUCUUCCCAUCAGCUGCCUUUUAUACACACACCACUGUUUAUUGUGCUUUUAUAAUUUUUAUAUUGCUGGGUGUGAAAUUUGAAAUCAUUUAUGUUAUAGCCAUUAUAGCAUGUCACAUUUUGUUAGGUCUGUAAUCUAUUAGUCUCAGCUUCAUUGGUAUAGACUCGCUCCCUUGAAUGACUUGCAUAUUAUAAAAAAAUAAAUUAAAAAAAUUAAAAUAUAUGAAAUGAUAAUGGAUGCUUACCAAUUG
Molecule: long non-coding RNA, 810 nt
Filed under: Elaeis guineensis (African oil palm)
Lineage: Eukaryota; Viridiplantae; Streptophyta; Magnoliopsida; Arecales; Arecaceae
Description: long non-coding RNA (EGUI_LNC051146)
Source: RNAcentral